GAGAAGCUUGCUUCUCUGAUGUUAGCGGCGGACGGGUGAGUAACACGUGGAUAACCUACCUAUAAGACUGGGAUAACUUCGGGAAACCGGAGCUAACACCGGAUAAUAUUUUGAACCGCAUGGUUCAAAAGUGAAAGACGGUCUUGCUGUCACUUAUAGAUGGAUCCGCGCUGCAUUAGCUAGUUGGUAAGGUAACGGCUUACCAAGGCAACGAUGCAUAGCCGACCUGAGAGGGUGAUCGGCCACACUGGAACUGAGACACGGUCCAGACUCCUACGGGAGGCAGCAGUAGGGAAUCUUCCGCAAUGGGCGAAAGCCUGACGGAGCAACGCCGCGUGAGUGAUGAAGGUCUUCGGAUCGUAAAACUCUGUUAUUAGGGAAGAACAUAUGUGUAAGUAACUGUGCACAUCUUGACGGUACCUAAUCAGAAAGCCACGGCUAACUACGUGCCAGCAGCCGCGGUAAUACGUAGGUGGCAAGCGUUAUCCGGAAUUAUUGGGCGUAAAGCGCGCGUAGGCGGUUUUUUAAGUCUGAUGUGAAAGCCCACGGCUCAACCGUGGAGGGUCAUUGGAAACUGGAAAACUUGAGUGCAGAAGAGGAAAGUGGAAUUCCAUGUGUAGCGGUGAAAUGCGCAGAGAUAUGGAGGAACACCAGUGGCGAAGGCGACUUUCUGGUCUGUA
Molecule: ribosomal RNA, 680 nt
Filed under: uncultured Staphylococcus sp.
Lineage: Bacteria; Bacillati; Bacillota; Bacilli; Caryophanales; Staphylococcaceae
Description: bacterial SSU rRNA
Rfam family: Bacterial small subunit ribosomal RNA
Source: RNAcentral